This 410-nucleotide ribosomal RNA is filed under the name uncultured bacterium. Its description in RNAcentral is "bacterial SSU rRNA". It matches the Rfam family "Bacterial small subunit ribosomal RNA", at positions 28 to 418 of the family's 1533-position model. The record is from RNAcentral.
GAUGAACGCUGGCGGCGUGCCUAACACAUGCAAGUCGAACGGAGUUACUUUGGUGAAGUUUUCGGUACGGAUCUGAUUUAACUUAGUGGCGGACGGGUGAGUAAUGCGUGAGCAACCUGCCCUUCAGAGGGGGACGAACAGUUGGAAACGACUGCUAAUACCGCAUAAUGUAUCCGGGAGGCAUCUUCUGGAUACCAAAGGAGAAAUCCGCUGAUGGAUGGGCUCACGUCUGAUUAGCUAGUUGGUGAGGUAACGGCUCACCAAGGCUGCGAUCAGUAGCCGGACUGAGAGGUUGAACGGCCACAUUGGGACUGAGAUACGGCCCAGACUCCUACGGGAGGCAGCAGUGGGGAUAUUGGCAAAUGGGCGAAAGCCUGACCCAGCAACGCCGCGUGAAGGAAGAAGGCCUC